This 296-nucleotide unclassified non-coding RNA is filed under the name uncultured Pleosporales. RNAcentral's name for it is "sequence contains ITS1". The stretch from base 1 to 105 matches the Rfam family "5.8S ribosomal RNA", at positions 50 to 154 of the family's 154-position model. RNAcentral also lists the same sequence under 1 other name. Lineage: Eukaryota; Fungi; Ascomycota; Dothideomycetes; Pleosporales. The record is from RNAcentral.
GAAAUGCGAUAAGUAGUGUGAAUUGCAGAAUUCAGUGAAUCAUCGAAUCUUUGAACGCACAUUGCGCCCCUUGGUAUUCCAUGGGGCAUGCCUGUUCGAGCGUCAUUUGUACCCUCAAGCUCUGCUUGGUGUUGGGUGUUUGUCCACUAUCGUGGACUCGCCUUAAAGUCAUUGGCAGCCAGUGUUUUGGUAUUGAAGCGCAGCACAUUUUGCGCCUCUAGCCUAGAACACUAGCGUCCAGUAAGCCUUUUUCCACUUUUGACCUCGGAUCAGGUAGGGAUACCCGCUGAACUUAA